Molecule: ribosomal RNA, 427 nt
Filed under: uncultured bacterium
Lineage: Bacteria
Description: partial 16S ribosomal RNA
Rfam family: Bacterial small subunit ribosomal RNA
Source: RNAcentral
GUGGGGAAUAUUGGGCAAUGGGGGGAACCCUGACCCAGCGACGCCGCGUGGGUGAAGAAAUCCUUCGGGAUGUAAAGCCCUGUUGUAUGGGAAGAGCGGAAGACGGUACCAUACGAGGAAGCCCCGGCAAACUACGUGCCAGCAGCCGCGGUAAUACGUAGGGGGCAAGCGUUGUCCGGAAUUACUGGGCGUAAAGCGCACGCAGGCUGAAUUAUAAGUCGGUAGUAAAAGGCGGGGGCUCAACUUCCGUAUAUCUAUCGAUACUGUAAAUCUAGAGUAUGUGAGAGGGAAGCGGAAUUCCCGGUGUAGCGGUGAAAUGCGUAGAGAUUUGGAAGAACACCAGUGGCGAAGGCGGCUUCCUGGCACAAUACUGACGCUCAUGUGCGAAAGCUAGGGCAGCGAACGGGAUUAGAAACCCUGGUAGUCC